AAAGUCGUAACAAGGUUUCCGUAGGUGAACCUGCGGAAGGAUCAUUACAGUGUUCCGUCGCGGCGCGCCGGGCCCCAAAGCCCGUGCGUGGUCGCGCGAAACCCCACCCUUGACUAUUGGACCUUCUGUUUCUUUGGCGGGCCCGCCGCAGGGCCGCCGGGAGCUUCGGCCCCUGGCCCGCGCCCGCCAGAGGCAAACUUGAACUCUUCUGUGAAUUGGCCGUCUGAGUAUGAUAUUGAAUCAUUAAAACUUUCAACAAUGGAUCUCUUGGUUCCG
Molecule: unclassified non-coding RNA, 276 nt
Filed under: Ascomycota sp.
Lineage: Eukaryota; Fungi; Ascomycota
Description: partial contains small subunit ribosomal RNA, internal transcribed spacer 1, and 5.8S ribosomal RNA
Rfam family: Eukaryotic small subunit ribosomal RNA (bases 1-47)
Source: RNAcentral